CUGAGUUGUCUCACAUAAUGCAAGCCUCUAAAAAGGAAGACAACUUCUCCUGAACACAACUAGAAACUUUCUCCUCACCCUGGUUAGAGUAUGCCCGGAGACUCAGGCUGAUUCUUUAUGAAGUCUGCUUUGUCCUUUAUGAGGCCACUGUAGAACAGCUAUGGACUAGGACUCACAUGGAAAGGGAGGAGAGGGAAUGGGUUGGCUAUACUGCUCCCCCACUGGGCUCACCUACAUUUCAGGGGUAUCCUGGGACUGAGGCAGAGGCUUUCACCUGGGGCAAUAUUAACACUCAGCAAAAUUAGGAAGGAGGAUGAAGGAAUCAGCAUGGUGGAGUGGAAAUAUGGUGCACAUUUAGUCAAAAAGAUUUGGAUCUGAAUUCAUAGCCGUGUGGCCUGGGGCAAGUUGUGAAGAGGGGAUGGUGCCAUCUGCUUUACAGACGGAGUCUCGCUUUGCCACCAGGCUGGAGUGCAGUGGCGCGAUCUCGACUGACUGCAAUCUCCACCUCCCGGGUUCAAGUGAUUCCCCUGCCUCAGCCCCCUGAGUUGCUGGGACUACAGGCACAUACCACCAUGCCCGGCUAAUUUUUUUGUAUUUUAGUAGAGACGGGGUUUCACCAUGUUGGCCAGGAUGGUCUCGAUAUUCUGACCUCAUGAUCCGCUUGCCUCGGCCUCCCAAAGUGCUGGGAUGCCAGGCAUAAGCCACCGCACCGGGUCGAGCAUCUUUAUUUUAAAUCUCACAUAAAGAUAGGUUUGGGGUUGGGUAAUCGGAGAAUGACAAUCAGAUUUACUUAGGCAAAAUUAAUAAAUUUUAAUCUGGG
This 820-nucleotide long non-coding RNA is filed under the name Homo sapiens (human). RNAcentral describes it as "HSALNT0292380". The record is from RNAcentral. Lineage: Eukaryota; Metazoa; Chordata; Mammalia; Primates; Hominidae.